GUAAGCUACUAAGAGCGAAUGGUGGAUGCCUUGACUGGUAAAGGCGAUGAAGGACGUACUAGACUGCGAUAAGCUACGGGGAGCUGUCAAGAAGCUUUGAUCCGUAGAUUUCCGAAUGGGGCAACCCAAUGUAUAGAGAUAUACAUUACCUAUAUAGGAGCGAACGAGGGGAAUUGAAACAUCUUAGUACCCUCAGGAAAAGAAAUCAAUAGAGAUUGCGUCAGUAGCGGCGAGCGAAAGCGCAAGAGGGCAAACCCAGUGCUUGCACUGGGGGUUGUAGGACUGCAAUGUGCAAGAGGUAAGUUUAGCAGAACAUUCUGGAAAGUAUAACCAUAGAGGGUGAUAGUCCCGUAUGCGAAAAACAAACCUUAGCUAGCAGUAUCCUGAGUAGGGCGGGACACGAGGAAUCCUGUCUGAAUCCGGGUCGACCACGAUCCAACCCUAAAUACUAAUACCAGAUCGAUAGUGCACAAGUACCGUGAGGGAAAGGUGAAAAGAACUGAGGUGAUCAGAGUGAAAUAGAACCUGAAACCAUUUGCUUACAAUCAUUCAGAGCCCUAUGUAGCAAUACAGGGUGAUGGACUGCCUUUUGCAUAAUGAGCCUGCGAGUUGUGGUGUCUGGCAAGGUUAAGCAAACGCGAAGCCGUAGCGAAAGCGAGUCUGAAUAGGGCGCUUAGUCAGAUGCUGCAGACCCGAAACGAAGUGAUCUAUCCAUGAGCAAGUUGAAGCUAGUGUAAGAACUAGUGGAGGACUGAACCCAUAGGCGUUGAAAAGCCCCGGGAUGACUUGUGGAUAGGGGUGAAAGGCCAAUCAAACUUCGUGAUAGCUGGUUCUCUCCGAAAUAUAUUUAGGUAUAGCGUUGUGUCGUAAUAUAAGGGGGUAGAGCACUGAAUGGGCUAGGGCAUACACCAAUGUACCAAACCCUAUCAAACUCCGAAUACCUUAUAUGUAAUCACAGCAGUCAGGCGGCGAGUGAUAAAAUCCGUCGUCAAGAGGGAAACAACCCAGACUACCAGCUAAGGUCCCUAAAUCUUACUUAAGUGGAAAACGAUGUGAAGUUACUUAAACAACCAGGAGGUUGGCUUAGAAGCAGCCAUCCUUUAAAGAAAGCGUAAUAGCUCACUGGUCUAGUGAUUUUGCGCGGAAAAUAUAACGGGGCUAAAGUAAGUACCGAAGCUGUAGACUUGCACACAACUUAGAUUAUUUAAGUUUAGAAUAUGAGAAACUAAGUUAUAUGUUUAGUUAUAUUUUUACUGAUUUUUAUAGAGUAAAGAUAGAAAUAAAACUUAGUAAAAUCAGUAAAAAUAUUCUUAGACUAAAGUUAAGUAGUUUAAGUUGUGUGCAAGUGGUAGGAGAGCGUUCUAUUUGCGUCGAAGGUAUACCGGUAAGGAGUGCUGGAGCGAAUAGAAGUGAGCAUGCAGGCAUGAGUAGCGAUAAUUAAUGUGAGAAUCAUUAACGCCGUAAACCCAAGGUUUCCUACGCGAUGCUCGUCAUCGUAGGGUUAGUCGGGUCCUAAGUCGAGUCCGAAAGGGGUAGACGAUGGCAAAUUGGUUAAUAUUCCAAUACCAACAUUAGUGUGCGAUGGAAGGACGCUUAGGGCUAAGGGGGCUAGCGGAUGGAAGUGCUAGUCUAAGGUCGUAGGAGGUUAUACAGGCAAAUCCGUAUAACAAUACUCCGAGAACUGAAAGGCUUUUUGAAGUCUUCGGAUGGAUAGAAGAACCCCUGAUGCCGUCGAGCCAAGAAAAGUUUCUAAGUUUAGCUAAUGUUGCCCGUACCGUAAACCGACACAGGUGGGUGGGAUGAGUAUUCUAAGGCGCGUGGAAGAACUCUCUUUAAGGAACUCUGCAAAAUAGCACCGUAUCUUCGGUAUAAGGUGUGGUUAGCUUUGUAUUAGGAUUUACUCCGAAAGCAAGGAAACUUACAACAAAGAGUCCCUCCCGACUGUUUACCAAAAACACAGCACUCUGCUAACUCGUAAGAGGAUGUAUAGGGUGUGACGCCUGCCCGGUGCUCGAAGGUUAAUUGAUGGGGUUAGCAUUAGCGAAGCUCUUGAUCGAAGCCCGAGUAAACGGCGGCCGUAACUAUAACGGUCCUAAGGUAGCGAAAUUCCUUGUCGGUUAAAUACCGACCUGCAUGAAUGGCGUAACGAGAUGGGAGCUGUCUCAAAGAGGGAUCCAGUGAAAUUGUAGUGGAGGUGAAAAUUCCUCCUACCCGCGGCAAGACGGAAAGACCCCGUGGACCUUUACUACAGCUUGACACUGCUACUUGGAUAAGAAUGUGCAGGAUAGGUGGGAGGCUUUGAGUAUAUGACGCCAGUUGUAUAUGAGCCAUUGUUGAGAUACCACUCUUUCUUAUUUGGGUAGCUAACCAGCUUGAGUUAUCCUCAAGUGGGACAAUGUCUGGUGGGUAGUUUGACUGGGGCGGUCGCCUCCCAAAUAAUAACGGAGGCUUACAAAGGUUGGCUCAGAACGGUUGGAAAUCGUUCGUAGAGUAUAAAGGUAUAAGCCAGCUUAACUGCAAGACAUACAAGUCAAGCAGAGACGAAAGUCGGUCUUAGUGAUCCGGUGGUUCUGUGUGGAAGGGCCAUCGCUCAAAGGAUAAAAGGUACCCCGGGGAUAACAGGCUGAUCUCCCCCAAGAGCUCACAUCGACGGGGAGGUUUGGCACCUCGAUGUCGGCUCAUCGCAUCCUGGGGCUGGAGCAGGUCCCAAGGGUAUGGCUGUUCGCCAUUUAAAGCGGUACGCGAGCUGGGUUCAGAACGUCGUGAGACAGUUCGGUCCCUAUCUGCCGUGGGCGUAAGAAGAUUGAAGAGAUUUGACCCUAGUACGAGAGGACCGGGUUGAACAAACCACUGGUGUAGCUGUUGUUCUGCCAAGAGCAUCGCAGCGUAGCUAAGUUUGGAAAGGAUAAACGCUGAAAGCAUCUAAGCGUGAAGCCAACUCUAAGAUGAAUCUUCUCUAAGCU
This 2963-nucleotide ribosomal RNA is filed under the name Campylobacter jejuni. RNAcentral describes it as "partial 23S ribosomal RNA". It matches the Rfam family "Bacterial large subunit ribosomal RNA". Lineage: Bacteria; Pseudomonadati; Campylobacterota; Epsilonproteobacteria; Campylobacterales; Campylobacteraceae. The record is from RNAcentral.